UUUUGUUUUUUUUUAUCGCAAAAACAUCAAAUAAUUAAAUUUGUUCGAAAAAGUUAGUUUCGUGGGCCAACUACUCCGAAACGAGAGGGUUUAUAUGGGAAAAAAGUACACCUCGUACUCUUGCACUCUUUGCGAGGCAGACAACACGGACAUUCAUAGUGCGUGGAAUAUGAGAUAAAGAAAACCGACCAAAACUAGCUUUAAAUCUAGCAAAAUCUUUUCCACCGGCCAAUCUUUACUUUCAUCAAGGAUCUUAAGUAAGCUUAAGCAAUCGGUUUCAAAAUGUAUAGAUUGGAUACUUUGUUGUAAAGUGCACUCCAUUGUCCAAAGAAGAGCUCCGAGUUCUGCGUAGAGGGCAUUGCGAUAACAAUUCU
RNAcentral lists this small RNA (374 nucleotides) under Arabidopsis thaliana (thale cress). RNAcentral's name for it is "ATSL175900". The record is from RNAcentral. Lineage: Eukaryota; Viridiplantae; Streptophyta; Magnoliopsida; Brassicales; Brassicaceae.